UACGUAGGGUGCAAGCGUUGUCCGGAAUUAUUGGGCGUAAAGAGCUCGUAGGCGGUGUGUCGCGUCGGCCGUGAAAACCUGCAGCUUAACUGUGGGCUUGCGGUCGAUACGGGCAUCACUGGAGUUCGGCAGGGGGAGACUGGAAUUCCUGGUGUAGCGGUGAAAUGCGCAGAUAUCAGGAGGAACACCGGUGGCGAAGGCGGGUCUCUGGGCCGAUACUGACGCUGAGGAGCGAAAGCGUGGGGAGCGAACAGG
RNAcentral lists this ribosomal RNA (255 nucleotides) under uncultured bacterium. RNAcentral's name for it is "partial 16S ribosomal RNA". It matches the Rfam family "Bacterial small subunit ribosomal RNA", at positions 524 to 776 of the family's 1533-position model. The record is from RNAcentral.